GCCCCCAUGCUGUGCCUGACACACUUGAUAUGGCAAAAACCAGGACAGCCUUUCUCACGUUGUCCAGCUGUGCCAACAAUUUCACUUCCAAGCAGAGGUUGAGGAACAUUGAGGUCCUUUGCACUUUUUGGUUAUAUGAUGAUCAACAAUGCUGCUAUGAAUAUUUGCCUAUUUUAGGAAUGGGCAGAAGCUGGAAACAUUCC
This 203-nucleotide long non-coding RNA is filed under the name Homo sapiens (human). RNAcentral describes it as "HSALNT0304186". The record is from RNAcentral. Lineage: Eukaryota; Metazoa; Chordata; Mammalia; Primates; Hominidae.